AGUGAAAUAAAAUUUUGAAUACAUGAUGUCUGGAUAUGGAAUUCUAUAUUUUAGCUACUGCAUUUAGAGCACCUGGAAUUUUAUGAUUUUUGGUGAGAGUGUUAAGUCAUUAGAUUUUUAAUGAUACUUAGCCAAUUGUUGAUUCCUAAAAAUUGUUCUUAUGUUAGAAGUUAUACAAUGUAAUGAUGCAGUAGUAGGGAAAAACAAUAAUAAAUUAAAUUGCAUGGAAAAAAAAA
Molecule: unclassified non-coding RNA, 236 nt
Filed under: Hevea brasiliensis (rubber tree)
Lineage: Eukaryota; Viridiplantae; Streptophyta; Magnoliopsida; Malpighiales; Euphorbiaceae
Source: RNAcentral